RNAcentral lists this ribosomal RNA (244 nucleotides) under uncultured bacterium. RNAcentral describes it as "partial 16S ribosomal RNA". It matches the Rfam family "Bacterial small subunit ribosomal RNA", at positions 533 to 776 of the family's 1533-position model. The record is from RNAcentral.
CGCAAGCGUUGUCCGGAAUUAUUGGGCGUAAAGAGCGUGUAGGCGGCCUGACAGGUCUGCUGUGAAAACUCGAGGCUCAACCUCGAGAUGUCGGCGGAAACCAUUUGGCUAGAGUCCGGAAGAGGAGAGUGGAAUUCCUGGUGUAGCGGUGAAAUGCGCAGAUAUCAGGAAAAACACCAAUGGCGAAAGCAGCUCUCUGGGACGGUACUGACGCUGAGACGCGAAAGCGUGGGGAGCGAACAGG